Molecule: long non-coding RNA, 387 nt
Filed under: Gossypium barbadense (sea-island cotton)
Lineage: Eukaryota; Viridiplantae; Streptophyta; Magnoliopsida; Malvales; Malvaceae
Description: long non-coding RNA (GBAR_LNC005104)
Source: RNAcentral
CCUUACAUAGAUCCAAAUCGAGUGUUGAUUUUUCCUGUGAUUCAAUUACUAAUAAAUCUAAUUCUGGAUGAAUAAAAAAUGAAUCAAAUAAGGCUGAUAUCUGUACUGGAAUCUGAUUAAUUACCGAAAUAAAUUGAAAUUAAAUCUAACAACGUGAAUUCAAUAGAAAAAUAAGUAACAUACAUCAUUAGAUUCCAUCAAUGAUUAGUUUGUUUAUUUAAUCUUGUCUAAGAAUACAAAAAAUAGUAGAAAAAAAUCAAUACCUUUGAUUAAGGGUUCACAUACCUUAAUUAUAAUUUUCUUCACUUUCGUCCCAACACAAGAUUCAAUUGUAGAAACCCUACUAUUGUUCAAAUGUCUAACCUCUAUAUUCACACUAAGAAGUUG